This is a small nuclear RNA of Piliocolobus tephrosceles (Ugandan red Colobus), 108 nucleotides long. NCBI's taxonomy places the organism in Eukaryota, Metazoa, Chordata, Mammalia, Primates, Cercopithecidae. The record is from Ensembl.
UUAAAUACUUCACUUAAAAAUAAUUAAUACUUGGAAUGAUACAGAGAAGAUUAGCAUGAGCCCCUGUGUAAGGAUGACAGGAAAAAAAAUACUGUGUUUUAAAUGUUU